UUCCGGUUGAUCCUGCCGGAGGCCAUUGCUAUCGGAGUCCGAUUUAGCCAUGCUAGUUGCACGAGUUUAGACUCGUAGCGUAUAGCUCAGUAACACGCGGCCAAACUACCCUACAGACCGCAAUAACCUCGGGAAACUGAGGCCAAUAGCGGAUAUAACUCCCAUGCUGGAGUACUGAGAGUUAGAAACGUUCUGGCGCUGUAGGAUGUGGCUGCGGCCGAUUAGGUAGAUGGUGGGGUAACGGCCCACCAUGCCAAUAAUCGGUACAGGUUGUGAGAGCAAGAGCCUGGAGACGGUAUCUGAGACAAGAUACCGGGCCCUACGGGGCGCAGCAGGCGCGAAACCUUUACACUGCACGACAGUGCGAUAGGGGGACUCCGAGUGUGAGGGCAUAUAGCCCUCGCUUUUCUGUACCGUAAGGUGGUACAAGAAUAAGGACUGGGCAAGACCGGUGCCAGCCGCCGCGGU
Molecule: ribosomal RNA, 468 nt
Filed under: uncultured archaeon
Lineage: Archaea
Description: bacterial SSU rRNA
Rfam family: Archaeal small subunit ribosomal RNA
Source: RNAcentral